RNAcentral lists this ribosomal RNA (700 nucleotides) under uncultured Halogranum sp. RNAcentral's name for it is "bacterial SSU rRNA". It matches the Rfam family "Archaeal small subunit ribosomal RNA", at positions 163 to 862 of the family's 1478-position model. The record is from RNAcentral. Lineage: Archaea; Methanobacteriati; Methanobacteriota; Halobacteria; Halobacteriales; Haloferacaceae.
ACUCACGCUGGAACGCGGAGUAUCUCAAACGCUACGGCGCUACAGGAUGUGGCUGCGGCCGAUUAGGUAGACGGUGGGGUAACGGCCCACCGUGCCGAUAAUCGGUACGGGUUGUGAGAGCAAGAGCCCGGAGACGGAAUCUGAGACAAGAUUCCGGGCCCUACGGGGCGCAGCAGGCGCGAAACCUUUACACUGCACGCCAGUGCGAUAAGGGGACCCCAAGUGUGAGGGCAUAUAGCCCUCACUUUUGUGUACCGUAGGGAGGUACACGAAUAAGAGCUGGGCAAGACCGGUGCCAGCCGCCGCGGUAAUACCGGCAGCUCGAGUGAUGACCGAUUUUAUUGGGCCUAAAGCGUCCGUAGCUGGCCGCGUAGGUUCGUCGGGAAAUCCACCUGCUCAACAGGUGGGCGUCCGGCGAAAACCACGUGGCUUGGGACCGGAAGGCUCGAGGGGUACGUCCGGGGUAGGAGUGAAAUCCCGUAAUCCUGGACGGACCGCCGAUGGCGAAAGCACCUCGAGAAGACGGAUCCGACAGUGAGGGACGAAAGCUGGGGUCUCGAACCGGAUUAGAUACCCGGGUAGUCCCAGCCGUAAACAAUGCCUGUUAGGUGUGGCACCGACUACGAGUCGGUGCUGUGCCGUAGGGAAGCCGAUAAACAGGCCGCCUGGGAAGUACGUCCGCAAGGAUGAAACUUAAAGG